This 910-nucleotide long non-coding RNA is filed under the name Marmota monax (woodchuck). The record is from RNAcentral. Lineage: Eukaryota; Metazoa; Chordata; Mammalia; Rodentia; Sciuridae.
GAUCCUCGUGCGAUGGAAAUCCUUCCUCCAGGUUCCGGAGCACCCCACUAUUGCUGGAAAUUCCUAACAAGAUAGCCUUUAGCCGUCCUGACUUGUCAUACUCCCACACAGUGAAGCAGCACACGGGGGCAAUGCACUCCCCUCGCCGCCAUCUUCUUCCCCAGAGUUUUCAAUAUUUAAAAUUUUUUUAGUGAUUGUGUAUCUUAACUGUUGUUUUAAAGAAGCUCUGGAUGGAACAGAAGGGAAAAAUUGGAUUUUAGUUCUCUGGAAAUUUCAUCUGUUGGCUUUUUUUAUCCUGUUACUUUAUAUACUAUAUUUAUUUUUUUCAAAAAAAUAUUUUUUCCUCAUUAGAUCAAAUAUUGGAAGCUACUUUGUAUAUGUGUUAAGUUAUUAAUCUCUGAUUAUCUUAAUCUUUUUGCUUUCCCACAGAUUUUAAGGGUUUCUACUUUACUCUUAUGUGAUAACUACAUGUUCUAGAAAAAGGUUAAUGAUACCAUGAUGUUCUUUUCAUUUUAUUUUUCAUACUACAAUUACAAAAAAAUAAGUCAUAUUUUGGUAAUAUUUUCCUCUUCUGAGUCUCGUUUAGAUCAUUCAUUCCUAACAGCCCCUCCCCCACCAUUCUGUGGUAACUCUUUCUUUUAGGAUCUAGUCUGCUUGGAAGGUUGGACAUUUUCGAACAUCUGGUGAUUUUUGUUCUUAAGAUUUAUUCUAAUCUUUUAUUUGCUAACAGUUAGGAGUCAUCAACGUCUGUUUUCCAUCUCACUGUUUAUCAAACAGCCCUUUCUUUGAUUGUCAGCACCAUCAUAGUUCCUACUUAAAAAGCUUCAGUCUUCAUUAGGAGUCUAAGGUCCUUUGAGCAAAGUAAUGUCAGGUAGGAUUUUUUUUUAAUAUUUGUUUUUUAGUUUUAGGU